This is a long non-coding RNA of Antechinus flavipes (yellow-footed antechinus), 2013 nucleotides long. RefSeq lists it as uncharacterized. The record is from RefSeq and is a predicted model, not a curated record. The transcript is spliced from 3 exons. NCBI's taxonomy places the organism in Eukaryota, Metazoa, Chordata, Mammalia, Dasyuromorphia, Dasyuridae.
UGUCAGUUAUAAUUCAGUUGCCCAACAAUCAUUUUAAAAUAGCAGGAUGGCAAGGGGAGGACUCUGAUUUGUUUAUUAGGAAGAAGUUUACUGACAUGAUUACAAUGCAUGCUUUGAACCUGAAUAUCACCCUAAAGUUUCUAAAGAAAGAAGGAGCCUUAGAAUGUAUUAACUCAGUGACUAGACAAAAACUGCACUUAAGUUUUGUAGUCUUGAGACUAUUGCUAAUGCAUCAUUUCAAGACUUUGGUUAACAUAAAGUAUUAAGGACAUAUACCUGCCAUAGUGAACAUGCUUUGAUGUGUCCACAUUUCUGCAUUUAUUACUGUCUAUGAAAAUAUUAUCUAUGGAGAAGUCAAAUUGGUAGAAUUAAAAUGGUAAAAUUGACAAAAAGAAGAAGAAUGACAAAUAUUGACUGGGACUUUUGGAAAAUUGGCAUAUUAAUGCAUUAUUAGUUGAGUUUUAAUUAUUCCCCGUCAUUUUGGAAAGUAAUUUGGAACUAUCCGCCUAAAGUUACCACAUUGUAUGAUGUAUGAUGGUAUCCAGUGAUACCAUUACUAGAUCAGAUACCACUACUAGAUUACAGGUUCAUAAACUUAUAGCCAAGGAAAUAAAAGAAAGAGGAAAUGGAUCAGUAUAUAUAAGUUUAUUAUGAUACUUCUUCUUGUACUGGUAAAGAACUGGAAACGAAGGAGGAGCCCAUCAAAUGGAGAAUAGCUAAACAAUUCUGCUACAUAAAUAUAAUGGAAAACUAUCAUGCUUUAAAAAAUUAUGAAAGGUACAAUUUCAGAAAAACCUGGAAAGAUUUGAAUGAACUAAUAUAAUGAUAGAGCCAUAACCAGAAGAACAAUUCCUAUAAAUAUAAUAAACACUUUGAAGACAACUCUGAAAAACUUAAAAACUCAUAUCAAGGAAAUGAGCAAAAACUUUCAGAGUACUGAUGAAACAUGCUACACACUUUCUGAUAAAGAGGUAACAUUCUCAGUAUACAGAUUAAGAUAUAUAUUUUACAGAAAUAGUCAAGUUGAUUUUUUUUUAACUUUAAUAGAUAUAUUUACAAUAUGGGUAGAAAGAAAAUCCAUUUUUGUUAAUUCCCCCCCCCAAAAAAAAAAACAACCCCAACCCAAAUGAAUGAAUGAAUGAAUAAAUAUUUUUUAAAAAGAAGAACAUUCACAAGAUUUAUCCCUAAUUUAAUUUCUGGGCAAUCUAGACAAACCCUGGAUUUUUGUGAACUAUAUAAACCACUGUGGAAUGCACCUGCCUUCAAGAACCUCUGAGCCUAGAAUAGCCCCUUCUCCCAAGUCAUGAGGUCUGUAUAAGCCUGUAAGUCUUAAAAAUUUGAACAAGAAUAGAGUAACACUUGAUGCUUGGGUUUGCCAAAGCUAAUUUCUGCUUCAGUUGUCUACAAUUCACAAACUGAGGUCAAGAAACAUGUCCCAGGGAGCAUGCAAUCAAUCAAAUUGAGGGCAACAACAUAGGUAAUACCCCACCCUCCUCAGAAUAGUCAUCAUGGAGUUUUGUCUCCAACACAAUCACAUCCAUCUUGUCCUCCAUUCUGAGUCUGAUGCUCUUUAGAGUAGUUAUCACCUAAAAGAUACCCAGACAUCUAGAGCAGUAGCUAUGAAGAAGUCACUGGAAAAUUCUUUCUCCUCUUCCAGAUCCUCAUCUUAUAUUAAUAGAUAAUGUUGUUUUUCUGUUUUGUAGGCAAACUUCCUGCUCUUCAUUUUGGUUGAGACAUAAUGAGUCACAGAGAAUGAUUCUAUCACUUCCCAAUAGUGAUACUGGCACAAUGGAAAAAGCACUGACUUUGGAAUCAGGGACUGAAUAAAAAUAGACUUACUGCCUUUGUGAUGUUGGGCUCUAAAUGAAAAAGUACUUGACUCCCAAAUCUCACAAAUAUGAUGUGUUACUUUCAUCCCUCCCUCAAUUCCUGUAUGUUUGUCACCUAAAUGGAAUCUUUUUUAAAAACAUUAUUUUUGUCCUAUUUAAUAAAAAUAUGUAUAUGCAAUGAAAA